This 262-nucleotide ribosomal RNA is filed under the name uncultured bacterium. RNAcentral's name for it is "partial 16S ribosomal RNA". It matches the Rfam family "Bacterial small subunit ribosomal RNA", at positions 793 to 1055 of the family's 1533-position model. The record is from RNAcentral.
GUCCACGCCGUAAACGUUGGGAACUAGAUGUGGGGCCAUUCCACGGCUUCCGUGUCGCAGCUAACGCAUUAAGUUCCCCGCCUGGGGAGUACGGCCGCAAGGCUAAAACUCAAAGGAAUUGACGGGGCCCGCACAAGCGGCGGAGCAUGCGGAUUAAUUCGAUGCAACGCGAAGAACCUUACCAAGGCUUGACAUAUACGAGAACGCUUCAGAAAUGAAGAACUCUUUGGACACUCGUAUACAGGUGGUGCAUGGUUGUCGU